This 290-nucleotide ribosomal RNA is filed under the name Pseudomonas aeruginosa. RNAcentral's name for it is "partial 23S ribosomal RNA". It matches the Rfam family "Bacterial large subunit ribosomal RNA", at positions 2523 to 2812 of the family's 2925-position model. Lineage: Bacteria; Pseudomonadati; Pseudomonadota; Gammaproteobacteria; Pseudomonadales; Pseudomonadaceae. The record is from RNAcentral.
ACCUCGAUGUCGGCUCAUCACAUCCUGGGGCUGAAGCCGGUCCCAAGGGUAUGGCUGUUCGCCAUUUAAAGUGGUACGCGAGCUGGGUUUAGAACGUCGUGAGACAGUUCGGUCCCUAUCUGCCGUGGACGUUUGAGAUUUGAGAGGGGCUGCUCCUAGUACGAGAGGACCGGAGUGGACGAACCUCUGGUGUUCCGGUUGUCACGCCAGUGGCAUUGCCGGGUAGCUAUGUUCGGAAAAGAUAACCGCUGAAAGCAUCUAAGCGGGAAACUUGCCUCAAGAUGAGAUAU